Molecule: ribosomal RNA, 730 nt
Filed under: uncultured bacterium
Lineage: Bacteria
Description: bacterial SSU rRNA
Rfam family: Bacterial small subunit ribosomal RNA
Source: RNAcentral
AACAGGAUUAGAUACCCUGGUAGUCCACGCCGUAAACGAUGUCGACUUGGAGGUUGCGCCCUUGAGGCGUGGCUUCCGGAGCUAACGCGUUAAGUCGACCGCCUGGGGAGUACGGCCGCAAGGUUAAAACUCAAAUGAAUUGACGGGGGCCCGCACAAGCGGUGGAGCAUGUGGUUUAAUUCGAUGCAACGCGAAGAACCUUACCUACUCUUGACAUCCAGAGAACUUAGCAGAGAUGCUUUGGUGCCUUCGGGAACUCUGAGACAGGUGCUGCAUGGCUGUCGUCAGCUCGUGUUGUGAAGUGUUGGGUUAAGUCCCGCAACGAGCGCAACCCUUAUCCUUUGUUGCCAGCGGUUCGGCCGGGAACUCAAAGGAGACUGCCAGUGAUAAACUGGAGGAAGGUGGGGAUGACGUCAAGUCAUCAUGGCCCUUACGAGUAGGGCUACACACGUGCUACAAUGGCAUAUACAAAGAGAAGCGACCUCGCGAGAGCAAGCGGACCUCAUAAAGUAUGUCGUAGUCCGGAUUGGAGUCUGCAACUCGACUCCAUGAAGUCGGAAUCGCUAGUAAUCGUGGAUCAGAAUGCCACGGUGAAUACGUUCCCGGGCCUUGUACACACCGCCCGUCACACCAUGGGAGUGGGUUGCAAAAGAAGUAGGUAGCUUAACCUUCGGGAGGGCGCUUACCACUUUGUGAUUCAUGACUGGGGUGAAGUCGUAACAAGGUAACC